UUUUUCCUUUUCCUUAUAUCUUCUCUCUUUCCUUCCAGUGCAUGAACUGAAUCCCUAUCUCCCGGUAUUCGAUCUUCGGGUCAUACCUUGUGUGGGGACCCCGACUCAUAAGUCGUGAUCACCGAAUGCACGUGUACAGUGAUCCCAGAGAUCAAUGCUCACUGAACACACAUAAGCUGAAUAAUAAGAGUCUUACAUCCAUAUGUAUCGUCUUACACAAUUUUAUGACCAUUAUGGUCAAGUCUUACAUAGAUUAAGCCUCAAGGGCUGAAUACCAAAUAAACUUAAGCAGUGGAAAUCUUCGUUGAUAAGUAGAACCCAUGCCAUCUGCCUUAACCCUAUAGGCAUUCUGACUGGGAAAGCGUCCUAGUUCGCAUGUUCGUCUCCAAAGAAUUCCUCUUCGAACUCCUGUUCUUCCAUGCCUGGCCAAUUAAAUAACCAGUGGCAAGCCAAUGAGUACUUUGAAUGUACUCGCAAGCAACCCAUGCUUUGUCUUAAGAUACAACAAUGCAUGACAUAGGUAAUUUUUUGCAGAAAGCUAAUUUUAUUGUGCUAUGACAUGUUCAACAACUGGUAAAACAUGCAUCAUAUGAAUUCAAGUAACCAUAGGGACUGGUUACAGAUAUCAACAUAAAUGGAAUGGGCUUCAACCCAACUCAAUCAUGUCAAGUCCUUUGACUUGACCCAAGUGGUUCUUCCCACUUAUCCAAACACACACACUGGUUUGUAAACAAGUGGACGUAGCCCAAGAGCGGUUACCCAACUGUCCUUGAUCGUGAACACGGCUAUUCGAAUAGUUUUACACUCUGCAGAGGUUGCACACUUUACCCACAAGAUCCGGGAAGCCUUCGUGUCAUCCACGACCCGCGGUACCUCAAGUAUCCGGGGUAAGCACCCGAUCACUACCUUUCCCUAGCCGCGACUACCAAGGAGUCCACUCGAUUGGUAGCAGCCCCCGUGCCAAACAUUGUCACACAAUAAAUUCUUUUUGUGGAGCCACGCUCCCAUAUUCAUCACAUAUCACAAGCACGGGUUACCAACGGUGUGUCUGGUACCCUAUGAAAACAAUCAUGGCCGCCCUACCUGGAACGACCCCGUCCCGAGAGUGACCACGCCACUCCCGUCACUAGUAAUGCGGGCAUCCAUGUUAGCACGAACUAGGUAAUCAAUAAUGCCCUUUCCCAUAUAAGGGUAGAGUGGUUGCGCAUGUAAGCUUGGAGUAACGGUCACAACUUAAACCAAUCCGUUUUCGAAAACAACACACUCACUUGCCUCGGUACACCACUUCUUUAUCAAGUGGUUACCUGGCUCAACAUCUCCCUCGGGCAUUAGUGGCACCCGAUGGGGUUUUCAAAAAGUCCUUGAGAAUACUUUUGUCUCCAUCACCAUGCAUAUACCCUGUCCCACUUGCGUAGUAACUACUUUAGCAUCCUAUCUACUCCCACCGGCAUAACCCUCAUAGGAAGGUAGGGUCAUGCACAAUGCAAGUAUCAACAAGGAAGUAACGAAGGCAACCCACCAAAGUGGUUACCAUCUCAUCAUGAUUCCGAUGCAACACUAAUAAAGUGCUAUAUGACAUGCAUAAAAAGGGUUUCAGAGACAUGGUCAAAGGGCUACUUGCCUGGUUCAUCAGAGUCUUGAAAUCUUCUGGUCCUUCUCCAAGUACUUUGUCUACUUCGCCAACUAAUGCCGGAAACAAACACAAUAAGCAACACAACAAGGCAAAAGUAAAAGUGCUCUAAAAAUAUGAAUUUGACUUUUCUACGACAUCUCUGGUUAUAUGAAAAAUAACCAGAGUGGUUUCAUUGGGACUGGAUCAGUGGAUAUUUUUGAGUAUUUCAAUAUGAUAGAAUCAAUGGAUUUAUGGAUUUGCAAGAAGUGUACCGAAAUAUAUUUUUGAAAAAUGAGCAAAGGCCCCCAUUUAACAAAUUAUGAUUUUAGAAGCAUCUAGGAGUUGGUUUCACUGGAUUUGGAGUUCAAAUGAAUUCCUAUGAAUUUGCAAAGUUGACAAAUAUGAAGAAACGGCUCAUUAUAUUGUGUGGCAUAGAAAGUAUUAAUAAAAAUGUUCAUAACCUAAGUUAUGAACUUAGAAGCAUCUAGAAAUUUGAAUCAUGGCAUUUGGAUCAAAUAUGAACUCUUUGUGAUUUUCCAAAGUCCAUCAUAGAAAUAGGGAAAUGGGGUUUUGUGAAAUAUGUGUGAAGGAAACUUUUCUAAAAAAAUGAGCAUGAUGCAUCACGAGGUAGAUCAAGAAUUUAGAAGCUACUAGAAAUUUGAAUUACUAGAUUUGGAGUUCAUAAGAUUUAUUUGUGGAUUUUACAAGUUUACAGAAAAAGAAAAAGAAAAGGGAAAGGGUUUUACCCUUAUCCUGCGCACUGGGCGGGAGAUAGCAAUGGGCCGCCCCAGCGGUUUAGCUGCACGGGUGGCAGGGGCGACGUCGAAGGCGCCCUGGAUGGAGUACGCCUUCGCUGCACGGGAGGCGGGUUUACUCCCGGUCCGUGUCCACUUAAACGGGCAGGGCCCGCCCGCUGGGUCGCUGACAAGCGGGGCCCGGCACUCAGGCUGUCCCCUACCUCCCGCUCGAAUAGAGCAGAGGCAUGGGAGGCAAGUCCGAGUGGUGCCAGCGCUCUCUCCGGCGGCACCGGCCACCUCUGGCGACGCCCAGCCCACCGACGGAUUCAGGAG
RNAcentral lists this long non-coding RNA (2682 nucleotides) under Triticum aestivum (bread wheat). RNAcentral describes it as "long non-coding RNA (TAES_LNC013222)". Lineage: Eukaryota; Viridiplantae; Streptophyta; Magnoliopsida; Poales; Poaceae. The record is from RNAcentral.